CCUUUGGAGAACUAUAUAAACAAGAGUAAUAAUGAUGAAUUAUAUAAUGAUGAAUUAUGAAAUUGGGUUCGUUAAAUAAGGAA
This 83-nucleotide non-coding RNA is filed under the name unclassified sequences. RNAcentral's name for it is "RAGATH-18 RNA". It matches the Rfam family "RAGATH-18 RNA". Rfam says of the family: Actinobacteria, Firmicutes, Fusobacteria, Thermotogae (1 example). Nearby to self-cleaving ribozyme genes The record is from Rfam by way of RNAcentral.